CGCAGCGUCUCUGCGCUCAGGGCGGCGCCGUCUUGAAUCAAGGUGUGCGGAGCGCAGCGCUUCGGCCCUCGGCUUGCACACAGCCUGCACACGGCCUCCGUGGAGCCGAAGCGUCGGAGAAGCCAUUUUGCACGAGGAAUGCUGGUCUGAAGGGACGCAGGCAGGUCUCUGCAAGCAGCGCCCUGUGAACAGGUGAAGCUAGACUAAGCACAAAGGAAAAAGAAAAAAAAAAAAGUUUGUGCAAAACUGCUUCCCUCUUCCACACUUCAGACGAGACUGUACUUGGAUGUAGGACUCUGGAAGGCUUGAGACGAAUCCUGCUCCUGGACCACUGGAAUGUUGGGAGCAGAGGCCAGAAGCAGAGAGAGCUCUGUGUCAGUCCACCUUAACUUUACAGCCAGUGAGCAGUAACAGAAACAGCAGAGGCAUUUAUCUCUGGUCCAAGUGCCCCUGCCCUUGGCAAGGAGCUGGGGUCUUACCCCGAUGGGAACUGGUCCCAUUCAGUCCUGGUCACUGGGCUCUGGCUUUAUUUUUCUCAGGAUCUGUAUGGAUAAGUUGCCUAGGACCCCAGUUCUUUCAGACGUCCCUGUCAGGUCCUUUUUUUUCAGUAGCAAAUGAGAUUCUUGAUCCCAAUUCAGGCUGGGGAACUGAAGCUGGGACUUCUGCUUGUCUUCACUUGUCAGCCUCCUCUACAUCCCGCCUGCUUCUCCUGGAC
Molecule: long non-coding RNA, 715 nt
Filed under: Sus scrofa (pig)
Lineage: Eukaryota; Metazoa; Chordata; Mammalia; Artiodactyla; Suidae
Source: RNAcentral